This 2902-nucleotide ribosomal RNA is filed under the name Klebsiella pneumoniae. RNAcentral describes it as "bacterial LSU rRNA". It matches the Rfam family "Bacterial large subunit ribosomal RNA". The record is from RNAcentral. Lineage: Bacteria; Pseudomonadati; Pseudomonadota; Gammaproteobacteria; Enterobacterales; Enterobacteriaceae.
GGGUUGUGAGGUUAAGCGACUAAGCGUACACGGUGGAUGCCCGGCAGUCAGAGGCGAUGAAGGACGUGCUAAUCUGCGAAAAGCGUCGGUAAGGUGAUAUGAACCGUUAUAACCGGCGAUGUCCGAAUGGGAAACCCAGUGCAAUUCGUUGCACUAUCGUUAACUGAAUACAUAGGUUAACGAGGCGAACCGGGGAACUGAAACAUCUAAGUACCCCGAGGAAAAGAAAUCAACCGAGAUUCCCCAGUAGCGGCGAGCGAACGGGAGCAGCCCAGAGUCUGAAUCAGCUUGUGUUAGUGGAACGGUCUGGAAAGUCCGACGGUACAGGGUGAUAGUCCCGUACACCAAAAUGCACAGGCUGUGAACUCGAAGAGUAGGGCGGGACACGUGGUAUCCUGUCUGAAUAUGGGGACCAUCCUCAAGGCUAAAUACUCCUGACUGACCGAUAGUGAACCAGUACCGUGAGGGAAAGGCGAAAAGAACCCCGGCGAGGGGAGUGAAAAAGAACCUGAAACCGUGUACGUACAAGCAGUGGGAGCACCUUCGGGUGUGACUGCGUACCUUUUGUAUAAUGGGUCAGCGACUUAUAUUCUGUAGCAAGGUUAACCGUAUAGGGGAGCCGCAGGGAAACCGAGUCUUAACUGGGCGUUAAGUUGCAGGGUAUAGACCCGAAACCCGGUGAUCUAGCCAUGGGCAGGUUGAAGGUUGGGUAACACUAACUGGAGGACCGAACCGACUAAUGUUGAAAAUUAGCGGAUGACUUGUGGCUGGGGUGAAAGGCCAAUCAAACCGGGAGAUAGCUGGUUCUCCCCGAAAGCUAUUUAGGUAGCGCCUCGUGAACUCAUCUUCGGGGGUAGAGCACUGUUUCGGCUAGGGGGUCAUCCCGACUUACCAACCCGAUGCAAACUACGAAUACCGAAGAAUGUUAUCACGGGAGACACACGGCGGGUGCUAACGUCCGUCGUGAAGAGGGAAACAACCCAGACCGCCAGCUAAGGUCCCAAAGUCAUGGUUAAGUGGGAAACGAUGUGGGAAGGCACAGACAGCCGGAUGUUGGCUUAGAAGCAGCCAUCAUUUAAAGAAAGCGUAAUAGCUCACUGGUCGAGUCGGCCUGCGCGGAAGAUGUAACGGGGCUAAACCAUGCACCGAAGCUGCGGCAGCGACACUAUGUGUUGUUGGGUAGGGGAGCGUUCUGUAAGCCUGCGAAGGUGUGCUGUGAGGCAUGCUGGAGGUAUCAGAAGUGCGAAUGCUGACAUAAGUAACGAUAAAGCGGGUGAAAAGCCCGCUCGCCGGAAGACCAAGGGUUCCUGUCCAACGUUAAUCGGGGCAGGGUGAGUCGACCCCUAAGGCGAGGCCGAAAGGCGUAGUCGAUGGGAAACAGGUUAAUAUUCCUGUACUUGGUGUUACUGCGAAGGGGACGGAGAAGGCUAUGUUAGCCGGGCGACGGUUGUCCCGGUUUAAGCAUGUAGGCUGGUUAUCCGCAAAUCCGGAUAAUCAAGGCUGAGGUGUGAUGACGAGGCACUACGGUGCUGAAGUAACAAAUGCCCUGCUUCCAGGAAAAGCCUCUAAGCAUCAGGUAACAUCAAAUCGUACCCCAAACCGACACAGGUGGUCAGGUAGAGAAUACCAAGGCGCUUGAGAGAACUCGGGUGAAGGAACUAGGCAAAAUGGUGCCGUAACUUCGGGAGAAGGCACGCUGGUGUGUAGGUGAAGUCCCUGCGGAUGGAGCUGAGACCAGUCGAAGAUACCAGCUGGCUGCAACUGUUUAUUAAAAACACAGCACUGUGCAAACACGAAAGUGGACGUAUACGGUGUGACGCCUGCCCGGUGCCGGAAGGUUAAUUGAUGGGGUUAUCCGUAAGGAGAAGCUCUUGAUCGAAGCCCCGGUAAACGGCGGCCGUAACUAUAACGGUCCUAAGGUAGCGAAAUUCCUUGUCGGGUAAGUUCCGACCUGCACGAAUGGCGUAAUGAUGGCCAGGGCUGUCUCCACCCGAGACUCAGUGAAAUUGAACUCGCUGUGAAGAUGCAGUGUACCCGCGGCAAGACGGAAAGACCCCGUGAACCUUUACUAUAGCUUGACACUGAACAUUGAGCCUUGAUGUGUAGGAUAGGUGGGAGGCUUUGAAGCGUGGACGCCAGUCUGCGUGGAGCCAACCUUGAAAUACCACCCUUUAAUGUUUGAUGUUCUAACGUUGGCCCCUUACCGGGGUUGCGGACAGUGUCUGGUGGGUAGUUUGACUGGGGCGGUCUCCUCCCAAAGCGUAACGGAGGAGCACGAAGGUUAGCUAAUCCUGGUCGGACAUCAGGAGGUUAGUGCAAUGGCAUAAGCUAGCUUGACUGCGAGCGUGACGGCGCGAGCAGGUGCGAAAGCAGGUCAUAGUGAUCCGGUGGUUCUGAAUGGAAGGGCCAUCGCUCAACGGAUAAAAGGUACUCCGGGGAUAACAGGCUGAUACCGCCCAAGAGUUCAUAUCGACGGCGGUGUUUGGCACCUCGAUGUCGGCUCAUCACAUCCUGGGGCUGAAGUAGGUCCCAAGGGUAUGGCUGUUCGCCAUUUAAAGUGGUACGCGAGCUGGGUUUAGAACGUCGUGAGACAGUUCGGUCCCUAUCUGCCGUGGGCGCUGGAGAAUUGAGGGGCUGCUCCUAGUACGAGGACCGAGUGGACGCAUCACUGGUGUUCGGGUUGUCAUGCCAAUGGCACUGCCCGGUAGCUAAAUGCGGAAGAGAUAAGUGCUGAAAGCAUCUAAGCACGAAACUUGCCCCGAGAUGAGUUCUCCCUGAGACUUUAAGUCUCCUGAAGGAACGUUGAAGACGACGACGUUGAUAGGCCGGGUGUGUAAGCGCAGCGAUGCGUUGAGCUAACCGGUACUAAUGAACCGUGAGGCUUAACCUUACAACGCCGAAG